GCUGAUGCGUGCUUCUGAACAGCUGACCCUGAGGCCUUCAUCCACCUCUUGACCAGGACCCCCUCAUCAGGGCUUCCAUCCAGGAAUUUGAGAAGGAUUUAAACACCAUGAAGAAAAAGAGUUUGCUGUGAAAUUUGUGGAGGGAAGAGCAAUAAAAAGUCAACAUCUCCCAGCGGGACAGGACGAGUGCGCUGCUAUUUCCCGAAAGGCGCUCAGGAAGGGCCCUGCCUCCGGGUGGGGAGGAGAGGCGGGCAGCCUGGACUUAACCAGAGCCUGCCAGUUGCUCGUGUUUAUUGAGGGCCAUCUGCUCUCAGGGCCCUCAAUCUUGUACUCGGUCUAUUUGGAAAAGGAUUUAAAGGGCAAAGAAAAUAAUAUCUUCAUCUACUAUUCGGGCUUUUCCAGGACAAUACUGAUUUCAAAUAUUUUAUCCUCCUGUCGCCUUAAGCUAUCACAAAUGUUUUAGAAAUCCCAACUUCGUAGUGUCUAAAUGGAAUUUUCAGAAUUGCCUGUAAACCUCUUACCUUCUGCAGCACAAAAUCCUUUCUCUGAACACACAUCUCAGAUUUUUGGCUGGGAUAAUACAGUCAUCAUAGAAUACUGAACAGAAGGAAUUUCAAGGAAGGCAAUUUAAAGUUAGAGGGAAGAGCAGUAAAUGUAAAACUAUAAACAAAUAAAAAUGAAAUAAUAGCUCGUUCUUAUUGAGAGAUUUAGUGCCGUGCUUAUGGUUGUGGAUACUGAAGCCAGUCUCUCUGGGUUCAUAUCCCAGCUUUGAUACUUACUAGCUGUGUGACCUGGACAAGCCAGUUAACCUCUCUGUGCCUCAGUUUCCUCAUCCACUAAAAUGUGGAGAAUGGUACAGGGUUAUGAGGGUUUCGUGAGGCUUUUUUUUUUUUUUUUUUUUUUUGAGACAGAGUCUCGCUCUGUUGCCCGGGCUGGAGUGCAGUGGCACGAUCUCGGCUCACUGCAAGCUCCGCCUCCCGGGUUCACGCCAUUCUCCUGCCUCAGCCUCCCGAGUAGCUGGGGCUACAGGCGCCCGCCACCACGCCCGGCUAAUUUUUUGUAUUUUUAGUAGAGAUGGGGUUACACCGUGUUAUCCAGGAUGGUCUCGAUCUCCUGACCUCGUGAUCCACCCACCUCGGCCUCCCAAAGUGCUGGGAUUACAGGCGUGAGCCACCGCGCCCGGCCCUUGAAGCUUAAGUAUAUUACAACAGGAAUUUAGAGCUGAGCCCGGGGCAAAGGAAGCACUUUAUUCGGAUUUGCUCUUGUCAUUGGCCCUCACCCUGGGCGGGGUGGUAAUCUAUUUACACAAACGAACUCAUUUAACCUUCACCACAGGCCCCCCCACCCCCAGACAGGUCCCCUCAGUAUUCCUCCUGGGCAUUUGAGGAACCUUAGACCCGCAGAGGCUAAGUGACUCACCUAAGUCACCCUCCUUGGAGGUGGAAGAGCCAGAAUUCAAUCCCAGGUCCCAGAACUUAUGACCACCUUGCUCACUAUAAACAUAAGUGAACAAAAAGUGAUAGAGAUAUUUUAAAGCAGUGCAAGUCCUUGCUUCUUUGUGACCUGAAACUCCAUCGACUGCUCACCUGGUAUUGCCCCUAAACCACUUUCAGUUGUGUUGAUCCAUCCACUUCUCAAUAUCAGCUGUCGAUAUUGAGUGGCCAAUUUCCGCCAAACUCCGAUUAAACUCUUGGCACAUGCUGGAGUCAGCCUUCUGCCUUCCUGCAGAGAGCCUUCUGACAGGGACAGGCGUCUUCCGGCCACAUGGGGUUCAGGAGGAGGACAAAUGCUCCAGCACUGAUCUGGAAAAGACUAUAGCAAAGCAUAUCGCCCAUCAGCCUCCAGAAGGGCUAAGGGGCUAUAGAUGGAAGAAAGGCUGCAGGAAUACAUAAUAGCUUGGUAAAUAAUUUGAAGUCUUUGAAAAUUAUUUCUGUCACUGUUGUUUGAGCCACCUUUUCAUUACUCAAUAUGCCUGAUUUAUGGAUAUCACAUUUAGGUGAGUGAGUCAUUAAAACAUGCAUAUAAAGUUGUCACACACAGACACUUGAUGACUGUAGAUGAGAUUAUUUAUUGGAAAAUAAAGGUGAAUGUUGUAACAAGGGCAA
This is a long non-coding RNA of Homo sapiens (human), 2105 nucleotides long. RefSeq lists it as uncharacterized. NCBI's taxonomy places the organism in Eukaryota, Metazoa, Chordata, Mammalia, Primates, Hominidae. The record is from RefSeq and is a predicted model, not a curated record. The transcript is spliced from 2 exons.